GGGAGAGUAUGAGAGUUUGAGAUAUGGAGAGAUAGAGAGGGAUAUAAAGGGGAAAAGAGAGACGAACAGAGAUGGGGAGAGAGACAAAGACGGAAAAAUUUUAAAAUACAAUCAUUGUUUAUGACCAUUGAUUAUGGAGGGUCUCAUGUAUGACUCAAUCAUAACCAAUAAUCAGAGUGUAUUCAAUGGUUGCAUUAAAUAAAUUCUGAAGAGAGGAGGCUGAAAACAAUAAAAUAAAUUUC
This 242-nucleotide unclassified non-coding RNA is filed under the name Hevea brasiliensis (rubber tree). The record is from RNAcentral. Lineage: Eukaryota; Viridiplantae; Streptophyta; Magnoliopsida; Malpighiales; Euphorbiaceae.